Molecule: RNA transcript, 1594 nt
Organism: Fragaria vesca subsp. vesca
Lineage: Eukaryota; Viridiplantae; Streptophyta; Magnoliopsida; Rosales; Rosaceae
Exons: 4
Source: RefSeq, a predicted model, not a curated record
GAGAAAAGGAACGACAACAGCGCAGUUCCUCAUAUGAUAAGAAGAAAGUGGAACCAGCGGUUUCUGAUACACAAGAUCUUAUCUCGUCGUGUGUAUGAGAUUUGCGAAAACAAGUUUAUGUGAGACAGUCGGGAACAACAGGGAGAGGGAAGAUUAGUUUCUCAGAUAAAAAGGAGAUCUCAGAUAAAAAGGAGAGAGAUGGAUUAGUUUCUCAGUUAAACAGGAGAGAGAAGGACUAGGUUUGAGGUUAUGUGACAAGGAGAUUAGUUUCUAGCUCAGAUAAAAAGGAAAGGGAUGAAUUAGUGUCUCAAAUAAAAAAGAGAUGCGAGUAGUUCAUAUUCAGUAGGUUUGAGCUGAAUACAGGGGAAACAAAUAAAACUGUACAGAGUUUCUGCUUAAAGUGCUACUUCCUGCCCCCUGCUGGCCACGCCCAAAUCCACCCUGCUGGCCACGCCCAAAUCCACCCUGCUGUGCUUGCUGAAGUUUGAUUGGUUUCUCUUCUGUGUUAAAUUCAAGGCCUGCUUCAAUCAUGAAGAUAUAAACUUGACGCAUUAUUCCUGAAAACAGUUUUUCUAAUGCUUUUACCUUCUCUGCGAAACUUAAUAAAGGUACUAUUUUCAUGGGUUCCACACCUGAUAAGUAUGUGUUGACCAAAAAAUCUAUUGUCUCCUGGAAGGUAAUUCUGUUUUUUUCUGCAAUUUCAGCUACAUAUUUAUAUGCCUCUUUCACGUCAUAUUGGUAUCUAUCAUACUCUCUCUUAUUGUACCUGCGGAUAGUCUCAUUCAAAUGCUGCAGGACAUCUUUAUAGUAGUGGAGGAACCCCUUCCCGUCCUUGGUGUAGUAAUGCUUGUAAUCAUCAUAGACUUGUUUGAAGAACUUGGCCGCUUGUACCCCCUCUUGUAUGGCCUCAUCUAAAAUGGUUUCUAUGGCCAGUCGUGGUAUCCUCUGAAUAAGGCCAUUCCAUAUUCCUCUGUGGGUUGUAGCUCUUUGUGUGAUCUCAACGUACACAUUAUACACUAGGAUUCCUUUCUCCUCUGGUGUUAAUAACGAAGGAUGAUAAUACAAUUUUCUAAGUUUGUUCCUGCAUGAAUGAGAAAUAAAACCAAUAUGUUAUGCUGAACAACCAAUAUUUGUUUAUGUUUUUUGUCAAGUUAUGCAACACUUCAAAUAAAAAAGAUUACUUACACAUCGUUUUCUACUCUUGCUAGCAGGUUAAGAAAAUGAUUGAAGUCUCCCGGAUAGCAGUGUUCCUUUGGAUGAAGCUUUUCGGCCAAUCGGAAUAGGCAUGCUGGGUACAUUUCUAAAGUCUGGUAUGCUUCAUGGGUUCUGUCUGCAAUCUGCUUUAUUUUAUACCUUCCUCCGAUGUUGUCAAUGUCUAGUUUGCCUGAACAGUCUCCUUUUCUCAUCCUAUUGACGCAGUGGAAAAUAAGAUCCCUGUCAAGGCAGAUUGAUAAGUUAUUACCAUAUUAUUAUGUAUAUAGUUUUGAUUUGUAAUGUAGCAGAUUGAUAAGUUAGCAGACCAGUAAUAAGGUAGCAGAUUGAUCAGUUGAUACCAUAUCAUAUAUACUUUCAAAUCAAUUGGUAAAUGAUCAAG